RNAcentral lists this ribosomal RNA (253 nucleotides) under uncultured bacterium. RNAcentral describes it as "partial 16S ribosomal RNA". It matches the Rfam family "Bacterial small subunit ribosomal RNA", at positions 524 to 776 of the family's 1533-position model. The record is from RNAcentral.
UACGGAGGGGGCUAGCGUUGUUCGGAAUUACUGGGCGUAAAGCGCACGUAGGCGGCUUUGUAAGUUAGAGGUGAAAGCCCAGGGCUUAACCCUGGAAUUGCCUUUAAGACUGCAUCGCUUGAAUCAUGGAGAGGCGGGUGGAAUUCCGAGUGUAGAGGUGAAAUUCGUAGAUAUUCGGAAGAACACCAGUGGCGAAGGCGGCCCGCUGGACAUGUAUUGACGCUGAGGUGCGAAAGCGUGGGGAGCAAACAGG